This 609-nucleotide long non-coding RNA is filed under the name Takifugu rubripes (torafugu). RNAcentral describes it as "lncRNA (ENSTRUG00000032762.1)". The record is from RNAcentral. Lineage: Eukaryota; Metazoa; Chordata; Actinopteri; Tetraodontiformes; Tetraodontidae.
AGUAAGGUUGUCAGACUUCAUGCCCUGACAAUUGACUGUCAUUGAAGGAAUGAACUGGCCCCGGAGCACUGUAAUAUUUGUGUCUUGAAUUGAUUCGAUUUGCUAAAUACAUUUUGACAUUGGCAUUUUUCUUCUUGUAGUCUUCAUUCAGAGAACACGCGGAUUGGCAGUGACACACGUGAGACUAUUGCGAUCCAACAAGGAGGAGGUGUCUGCAUGGCAGGAUUGAAAUGGCAGACUAUGCAAAAUGGGUGGUUGCCCACCCAGUAUGUGCCAGUUGGACCACAGGAGGCUUCCGGAUGAACCAGGUUUAUCUCCUCAGCAGCUGCUCAGCAACUAUCAGAUCCAGGUCAGCGUGAGCUAUCGAUGUAAGCACUUCGGAGUUCUUCCCCAACGGGACCACGAAACCUCCCUCGGGCAAGCCUCGGUGUUGGAUGGAUACCUGACUGUUCUGUCCAAUAAACAUCUCUUAUAACCAAGUCAGUGUCUGCGAAUAUUCCUUCCUCAUCAGCACCUCUUGACUACCACCAGAAGAAAUUUACAACACCUGCUGAUGUGUUUCUUGAACAUAAAAAUUAUCUAAUUAUCUGACGCGUAUAUAAAUUUCAG